This 31-nucleotide small RNA is filed under the name Bombyx mori (domestic silkworm). Its description in RNAcentral is "ovarian small RNA-31455". The record is from RNAcentral. Lineage: Eukaryota; Metazoa; Arthropoda; Insecta; Lepidoptera; Bombycidae.
UGACAUGCUGGGCCACCAACCCGGUGGUUGA